This 21-nucleotide non-coding RNA is filed under the name Arabidopsis thaliana (thale cress). The record is from RNAcentral. Lineage: Eukaryota; Viridiplantae; Streptophyta; Magnoliopsida; Brassicales; Brassicaceae.
GACGCGGGCUCUGCCCGUUGC